GAGGGAUUGGAAAGCUGGGGUUGUAGCACAGCCUGAGAAGACAUCUGGUCAUCUUAACUGGGAGAGGGUGAGAGCGGCUGCUUGCACUCGGUUACUGACCCGGGAUAAUCCACGGCGCAUCCUCUCCUCUGCGCGGUGCAGUGAGAAAUGGAGUAGCCAGCAGAGGGCAAUGAAGCAGAAACUGGGAGCUAUAAUAGAGCA
This is a non-coding RNA of Lonchura striata (white-rumped munia), 201 nucleotides long. The record is from RefSeq and is a predicted model, not a curated record. Lineage: Eukaryota; Metazoa; Chordata; Aves; Passeriformes; Estrildidae.